CACCUUUCAGGGGGGGGGGAAGGGGGUUAAGGGUUAAUAACCCUUGGCGGAUUGACGUUACCCGCAGAAGAAGCCCCGGGUUAACUCCGUGCCAGCAGCCGCGGUAAUACGGAGGGGGCAAGCGUUAAUCGGAAUUACUGGGCGUAAAGCGCCCGCAGGCGGUUUGUCAAGUCCGGAUGUGAAAUCCCCGGGCUCAACCUGGGAACUGCAUUCGAAACUGGCAGGCUAGAGUCUUGUAGAGGGGGGUAGAAUUCCAGGUGUAGCGGUGAAAUGCGUAGAGAUCUGGAGGAAUACCGGUGGCGAAGGCGGCCCCCUGGACAAAGACUGACGCUCAGGUGCGAAAGCGUGGGGAGCAAACAGGAUUAGAUACCCUGGUAGUCCACGCCGUAAACGAUGUCGAUUUGGAGGUUGUGCCCUUGAGGCGUGGCUUCCGGAGCUAACGCGUUAAAUCGACCGCCUGGGGAGUACGGCCGCAAGGUUAAAACUCAAAUGAAUUGACGGGGGCCCGCACAAGCGGUGGAGCAUGUGGUUUAAUUCGAUGCAACGCGAAGAACCUUACCUGGUCUUGACAUCCACAGAACUUUCCAGAGAUGGAUUGGUGCCUUCGGGAACUGUGAGACAGGUGCUGCAUGGCUGUCGUCAGCUCGUGUUGUGAAAUGUUGGGUUAAGUCCCGCAACGAGCGCAACCCUUAUCCUUUGUUGCCAGCGGUUCGGCCGGGAACUCAAAGGAGACUGCCAGUGAUAAACUGGAGGAAGGUGGGGAUGACGUCAAGUCAUCAUGGCCCUUACGACCAGGGCUACACACGUGCUACAAUGGCAUAUACAAAGAGAAGCGACCUCGCGAGAGCAAGCGGACCUCAUAAAGUAUGUCGUAGUCCGGAUUGGAGUCUGCAACUCGACUCCAUGAAGUCGGAAUCGCUAGUAAUCGUAGAUCAGAAUGCUACGGUGAAUACGUUCCCGGGCCUUGUACACACCGCCCGUCACACCAUGGGAGUGGGUUGCAAAAGAAGUAGGUAGCUUAACCUUCGGGAGGGCGCUAC
RNAcentral lists this ribosomal RNA (1040 nucleotides) under Klebsiella pneumoniae. RNAcentral's name for it is "bacterial SSU rRNA". It matches the Rfam family "Bacterial small subunit ribosomal RNA", at positions 430 to 1457 of the family's 1533-position model. Lineage: Bacteria; Pseudomonadati; Pseudomonadota; Gammaproteobacteria; Enterobacterales; Enterobacteriaceae. The record is from RNAcentral.